Small nuclear RNA from Leptonychotes weddellii (Weddell seal), 142 nucleotides. RefSeq annotates it as U4 spliceosomal RNA. NCBI's taxonomy places the organism in Eukaryota, Metazoa, Chordata, Mammalia, Carnivora, Phocidae. The record is from RefSeq and is a predicted model, not a curated record.
AGCUUUGCGCAGUGGCAGUAUCGUAGCCAAUGAGGUUUAUCCGAGGCGCGAUUAUUGCUAAUUGAAAACCAUAUAAACAACAUAUAAAGAACUUACCAAAAAAUUCCUGAAAGGGAGAAGAGUGUAGGUACAUAUAUGCUUC